RNAcentral lists this ribosomal RNA (468 nucleotides) under uncultured bacterium. Its description in RNAcentral is "partial 16S ribosomal RNA". It matches the Rfam family "Bacterial small subunit ribosomal RNA", at positions 28 to 507 of the family's 1533-position model. The record is from RNAcentral.
GACGAACGCUGGCGGCGUGCUUAACACAUGCAAGUCGAACGGAAAGCCCCUGCUUUUGUGGGCUGUUCGAAUCGCGAACGUAUCACUAACACGUGAGUCACCUGCCCCUGACUUUGCGAUAACUUCUUGAAACUGGUACCAAUACCUGAUCGCUUCUCCCGUGGCAUGUUGUGGGUUGGAAUUCUUCGUCGGUUGGGGAUGGACUCGCGGCUUAUCAGCUUGUUGGUGGGGUAGUGGCUUACCAAGGCCUUGACGGGUAGCCGGCCUGAGAGGGUGACCGGCCACAUUGGGACUGAGAUACGGCCCAGACUCCUACGGGAGGCAGCAGUGGGGAAUAUUGCACAAUGGGCGGAAGCCUGAUGCAGCAACGCCGCGUGCGGGAUGACGGCCUUCGGGUUGUAAACCGCUUUCGCCUGUGACGAAGCGUGAGUGACGGUAAUGGGUAAAGAAGCACCGGCUAACUACGUG